GUGAGUCAUCGAAUCUUUGAACGCACAUUGCACUCUAUUUAGAGUAUGCCUGUUUGAGAAUCUAUAGUAUUAAUUUUUGGGUUUGCUUUUUAAAAGCAAGUCUAAAAGAUUUGGAGCCUCCCUCGAGAGAGGGUGCUUUGAAAUAGAUUGCCUCGGAACUGAUUGACUCGACGAAGUUUUCAAACCCGCAGAAAAGUAUGUGAAUGGAACUCUGGUUUCUCAUAAUGCCGAAUACGUGGGCGAAGAUGGAGAAUCUCUUGGGUCGGGGUCCAUAACCUAAAAGACAGUCUUAGGACUGGC
This 300-nucleotide unclassified non-coding RNA is filed under the name uncultured Chytridiomycota. RNAcentral describes it as "sequence contains 5.8S rRNA gene, ITS2". The stretch from base 1 to 63 matches the Rfam family "5.8S ribosomal RNA", at positions 84 to 154 of the family's 154-position model. Lineage: Eukaryota; Fungi; Chytridiomycota. The record is from RNAcentral.